GUCUCUCCCCACACCUCCUCCCACUCCCGGCAGCCCGGCAGGGAAGGGGUUAGCACCGGGCAGGGCUCCGGGAGCCGGGCGGGCUCGCUGGGCGCCGGGGCAGUGCGGCAGUGCAGCCUCCGGGAGGAAGCGGGAGCAUCCCGCUCUUCCGGCCGCGCUAAUGGCCGGGCGCGGGGGACCCGCAUCCCCCCGAGGGGUUUCCACCCUCCCGGCUGCUUUUUUCCCUAAAUGCAUCCCCCUCCUCCCUUCCCCUCGCCCCUUUUCGUGCGAGCGCUUUCACGGGCGAUUUUCCACGCUCCGCUGAUCGCUCGCCCGCGACCCGCGCGGGGUUUUCGCUGCCUGCUGAAGAUUGAUGGGACUGCAGCAAUAAAACUGUGGUUGAGACAUCCCCCGAGGGGGAUAAAACCCCGGCGAGCCGCUGCUAAAGGGGGGAUCCCAGCCGGUUUUUGUGGGGGGGCUUUUCCUCAGCAUCUCCCGCCGACACCGUUCCUGAAGAUUUUCCACCCAAAGCGGUGCCUCCGGUAUUUUCCCGGGAAGGACGCGAUGUUCGUGCCCUGCUAAGCAGCCCGUGGCUCCGGCCCUGGCACCGGUGCCACCUCUGCUGCCGUUCGUGAAGAUUUUCCACCCAAAGCGGUGCCUCCGGUAUUUUCCCGGGAAGGACGCGAUGUUCGUGCCCUGCUAAGCAGCCCGGGGCUCCGGCCCCGGCACGGGUGCCAACCUCUGCUGCCAAGCGGGGACGAUGGGUGGAUGAAUCGGCAAAGAGAACCUCGUUCCCUCAACCUCCCCCUGCUCGGAGAGGGGCUGGCCAGGAUUUACCGCGGCAUCCUGGCCGUGGUGGCAGCGCUGCGCCCGCCCAAGGAGCCGCCCGCAGCCCCGGCCGAGCGGAGCGCUGCCCCCUCCGUGCCCGCCGAGCGCCGUGGGAGCCGCGCUGUGCCCGCGGAUCCCGACAGGACGAGCUCGCACAUGAUCUCCGCGGACGAUGCCGAGUACCCGCGGGAGUACCGCACCCUGGGCAACGGCACCCGGCGCUUCUCCAACGUGGGGCUGGUGCACACCUCGGAGCGCCGGCACACCGUGAUCGCCGCCCAGAGCCUGGAGGCGCUCACCGGCCUCCAGAAGACGGAGAUGGAGCGCAAGAGGGACGCCUUCAUGGACCACCUGAAGAGCAAGUACCCGCAGCACGCCCUGGCGCUGCGCGGGCAGCAGGAGCGCCUGCGGGACCAGCAACCCAACUACUGGAGCUUUAAGACCAGGAGCUCCCGGCACUCCCAGGGCUCCCAGCCUGGCCUGGCCGACCAAGCCAAGCUCUCCUUCGCCUCGGCCGAAUCCCUGGAGACCAUGUCGGAGGCGGAGCUGCCGCUGGCCUUCAACAGGAUGAACCGGUUCCGGCAGAGCCUGCCCCUGUCCCGCUCGGCCAGCCAGACCAAGCUUCGAUCCCCAGGGGUGCUGUUCCUGCAGUUUGGGGACGAGACCAGGCGGGUGCACAUCACGCACGAGAUCAGCAGCAUGGACACCCUGCACGCCCUCAUCGUGCACAUGUUCCCGCAGAAGCUCACCAUGGGCAUGCUCAAGUCCCCCAACACCGCCAUCCUCAUCAAGGACGAGUCACGAAACGUCUUCUACGAGCUGGAGGAUGUCCGAGACAUCCAGGACAGAAGCAUCAUUAAAAUCUACCGGAAAGAGCCGCUCUACGCCUCGUUCCCAGCCUCACACAUCACCAACGGCGACCUGAGGCGAGACAUGGUCUACACAUCCCGGGAAUCCUCUCCCACCCGCCGGCUCAACAACAUCUCCCCGGCCUCCCACCUGGCCUCCGGCUCCCCUCCGCCCGUGCUCCAGUCCUCGUCACCGUCCCGCUCCCGCAUGUCCUACAGCGGCGGCCGCCCGCCCUCGUACGCCGGCAGCCCCGUCCACCACGGCGAGCGCCUGUCCAGCCUGCCCCCGGCCCAGGGCGUGUCCCCCAGCCCCAGCGCCAUCCUGGAACGCCGCGACGUCAAGCCGGACGAGGACCUGGCGGGCAAGAACGUGGUGCUGGUGAAGAACGAGGGGCUCUACGCCGAUCCCUACGGGAUGGUGCACGAGGGGCGGCUCAGCAUCACCUCCACGCAGUCGCUGGCAGGCAUGGGGGACCCCUUCGGCUACUCGGGGGGGCUCUACAAGCGGGGGUCAGUGCGGUCACUCAGCACCUACUCGGCGGCCGCGCUGCAGACGGAGCUGGAGGACAGUUUGUACAAGCCCAACGCGCCCAUCUACAGCGACACGUACGGCCCCGGGCUGGGCUUCCGCAUGCCGCCCUCGUCCCCACAGAAGAUGGUGGAGCCCGGGCAGAGCCCGCACAGCCCCUACUCGGGCCCGCCGAGCCGCUCCUCGCCUGUCCGGCAGUCCUUCCGCAAGGAUUCCUGCUCCUCCGUCUUCAUGGACAGCCCCGUGGGCAAAACGCGCAACCCCAGCUCGUCCGGGCCCCCCGAGAUGUUCCCCGGCCCUGGAGAGCGGCCACUCUCGGGAUUCGGAUCGCCCGGACCGGCCAAGGACACGGAGACCAGGGAGCGGAUGGAGGCCAUGGAGAAGCAGAUCGCCAGCCUGACGGGGCUGGUGCAGAGCGCGCUGCUCCGCGGCUCCGAGGCCGAGACCCCCAGUGAGAAGACCGAAGCCACCAACGGCGGGACCCCCCCAUCAGCGUCCACCAGCCGCAGCGGCAUGGGCACCCCGGUGCCCGCGCCGCCACCGCCCUCGGCCACCAGCACCCCGGCGGGGCAGCCCACGGCCAUCACCCGCCUGCACAUGCAGCUGCACCUGCACGACCUGCAGCAGAACGCCAGCGACCUCCGCAACCAGCUGCAGCAGCUCAAGAAGCUGCAGCUGCAGAACCAGGAGACGGUGAAGUCGCUGCUGCGGCGGACGGAGACGGAGAUCAGCGUGCGGGUGACGGACACGAUGCGCAAGCACGAGGACCCUCUGCAGCGCCAGCGCAGCUUGGUGGAGGAGGAGCGGCUGCGCUACCUCAACGAGGAGGAGCUCAUCACCCAGCAGCUCAAUGACCUGGAGAAGGCCAUGGAGAAGUUCCAGCGGGAUCUGGCGCACAGCCCCCGGCUGAUCCCGGCACAGGAGCUGGAGGAAAAGGCCGCGGUGCUCAAGCAGCUGGGGGAGACCCUGACAGACCUCAAGGCCCAGUUCCCCAGCCUGCAGAGCAAGAUGCGCGUGGUGCUGCGGGUGGAGGUGGAGGCUGUCAAGUUCCUCAAGGAGGAGCCCAACCGCCUGGACGGGCUCCUCAAGCGCUGCAGAACCGUCACCGACACCCUGGCCCAGAUCCGCAGACAAGUGGACGAGGGCGUGUGGAGCUCGCCCAGCAGCCUGAGCCAGUCGCCCAAGAAGGUGGCCCCGGAGACGGAUUUCGGCAAAGCGCUGGAGCUGGAGAUGCCCACCAGCCCCCCGGUCAGCCUGCACCACCUGACGGGCACCGCCGAGCCCCUGGGCGUGCCCGGCUUCGCCCCCCAGCCCCAGAGCCACGCGGGCAAGAGCAAUAACCCCUCCCGGGCCCCCGAGAUGGUGCCCGCCAAGACGCAGACGGCGCCGGAGACCGCCGGCAAGAAGAGCGCAGACAAAGCCGUGUCCGUGGAGGCAGCGGAGCGGGACUGGGAGGAGAAACGAGCAGCGCUCACCCAGUACAGCGCCAAGGACAUCAACCGGCUCCUGGAGGAGACCCAGGCCGAGCUCAUGAAGGCCAUCCCCGACCUGGAAUUCGCCGCCAAGCACAAACCAACCCCGGGCAGCGGCAGCGCCGCCUCCACGCCCGAGCACAAACCCUCCAAGCCGCAGCACGCCCCCAAAUCGGGGGGCAAAGGGGACCCCAACGGCCGCCGGGGCUCAGACGAGCUGACGGUGCCGCGGUACCGCACCGAGAAACCCUCCAAAUCGCCGCCGCCUCCCCCGCCCCGCCGGAGCUUCCCCUCGUCGCACGGGCUGACCACGACCCGCAGCGGCGAGGUCAUCGUCACCAGCAAGAAGGAGCCCGGCUUUAUGAAGAAGGCGGAGUCGGAGGAGCUGGAGACGCCGAAGCCGCCGGUGAAGCUGCGGCGGGCGGUGUCCGAGGUGGCCCGGCCGGCCUCCACCCCGCCCGCCAUCGCCUCGGCCGGCAAGGACGACGACGACGAGGAGCGGAUCCUGGCCGAGCUGGAGGUGUUUCAGCGGAGCUCUGCCUCCCCUUCCCCCCCCGCGCCCCGCUGGGACCCCCUCGAGGCCGCGUCCCCGGGUCGCUCCGAGCCGCGGCCCGACAGAGCCGAAGGACGGAAGAGCGGCGGCGUCUCCAUCCCGGCGAUGAAGGUGGUGAAUCCGGCGUCGCGGCUGAAGCAGGGCCAGCAGGGCAGCCCCGACAAGGGCAAGCACAUCAAGCAGCGCAUGGAAUACAUGCGGAUCCAGGGCCAGCAGCAGAGCUCUCAGAGCUUCCCCCCACCAGCCUCCAGCCAGGAGCAGCUUCCAGCUCCCACCUCGCGGAAAACCGGGAAGCAGCGGCGCCCGAAGACGCCCCCGGAGCGACCCCCGGAGCGACCCCCGAGCGGCCCGGGCGCCGCCGCGGUGUCCCCGCGGGAGGAGCGGACAGCCCCGGCCGCGGCUCCCCGCGGGGCGCCCGCCGAGGCCGAAGGCUCAGGGACAUCCCGGCUCCUCCUCACCUCCGCCGCCGCCGCGCCCGGCUCCCCUCGGGGGGCACCGGGGGGUCCCCGGGAGUGCCGGAGGGGCCGCAGGGCGCGGGUGUGAAUUGGGGAAUUCUUGGGGAAUUAUCGGGGAAUUCUUGGGGAAUUAUUGGGGAAUUAUUGGGGAGGGGUCCCGGCGGGGUGACGCGGGCACGGUUUUGUCACCUCCCCAAGGGAGCAGCCCCGGUUCUGCCCAGCCUGGGGUGGGGGGCACCGGGCGGGUCCAGGUGUGCCACAGGUGGGCAUCAGGUGUGCCCAGGUGUGCCCAGGUAGACCCCAGGUGUGCCACAGGUGGGCAUCAGGUGGGCUCCAGGUGUACCCAGGUGUGCCCAGGUGUGCCCAGGUGUGCCCAGGUACAUCUCAGGUGUGUCCCAGGUGUGCCCAGGUACACCCCAGCGGUGCCCAGGUGUGCCCCAGAUGUGCCUAGGUAUAUCCAGGUACAUCUCAGGUGUGCACAGGUGUACACAGGUGUGCCCAGAGACACCCCAGGUGUGCCCAGGUAGACCCCAGGUGUGCCACAGGUGGGCAUCAGGUGGGCUCCAGGUGUACCCAGGUGUGCCCAGGUGUGCCCAGGUACAUCUCAGGUGUGUCCCACCUGUGCCCAGGUACACCCCAGCA
Non-coding RNA from Taeniopygia guttata (zebra finch), 5306 nucleotides. The record is from RefSeq and is a predicted model, not a curated record. Lineage: Eukaryota; Metazoa; Chordata; Aves; Passeriformes; Estrildidae.